Molecule: long non-coding RNA, 1353 nt
Organism: Manacus vitellinus (golden-collared manakin)
Lineage: Eukaryota; Metazoa; Chordata; Aves; Passeriformes; Pipridae
Exons: 3
Source: RefSeq, a predicted model, not a curated record
UUUUUUUUGUUACUGCAUCCUAUCUAACAGAUGGCAGCUUGGGUAAAAGUGGGUAAAAUUGUUAUUGAUCAGAUGUGUACUGGAUUUCCUGAGUUUGCCUUUACAUAUUUCUAAAAUUCCUGAGGCUAAAGAAGAAACAGGAGUGUUCAGAUUCUUCUUCCAAAGAGUUAAUGAAGCUACACAGCUCCUUUAACCCUGCUGAGAGUCAUUGAUCUGAUCUGGCUAGCCUGCAGGUUCACACAAAGGAGAUAGCUGGACAACAGCUGUUUUGUUAACAGCAGAGGACGGUUGGUUGCAGAAGAAAGGUGGAAGGUAGGAAUUUGAACUAUUUUCUACAAGGAGAGCUUUGCCAGAUUAUUUUCAACUGAUUCCAGUAAACCCCAGGAACACUGACUUGGAUGAGACAACUCAUGUGCGAUUCAGUAUCUUGUUCUAAGAAUGUAGUGUCAAUCCCCUGCUGGACACAGCCAAGUGGGUGAACAGUGAAGUCAUUAAAAAGGGAAAGAGCUUUGGAUAAUAAUAAAAAAAAAGACAGGUGAGUUCAAAGAGUUGUAUCCUUCGUUGGUGUGGAUUUUCACACUAUGGCACACAGAGGCUUCCUAGGAUGAGCAGAUGUAGAAUAAAGUCUUAGUGAAGAAUAAAACCUUAGUGGCAACAUCUAUCAUACUAUGUGAGCUGAGAAUAGCAGUUUCUGAAACCAUUAAAAAAUAACUGCAUGCCAGGACACUUUGGUAGAAGAAAUGCUAUGAUAAGACUGUGCCCCCGGCAUGGCUUCCCCUCAUCCUGCCCAUAGUCCAGGGCUCUGUGUCUGCCCCAGGGAACAUCAGGCCCUGCCCGAGCAAUGUUGUUUCAUUGUGCAAGAUAUUCAAGAAAUGUAUCCAUCCUGCCUUCAGCUAAUAAACAUACCUGUUUGAGUGUUUAACAAGCACACCAGGCAAAAAAAUAGUAGCUUAUUAAUUUUGCAACAAUGGAUACUGAUAUUUAUGAAGUAGACAAAUUAUUGCUUUUUUUUCAUCUUUAAUAUGCAUGUCCUGUCUUAAAUUUAGAUAAAAUUACCGCAUUCAUAUAGUUCAACCUGCUACUCAAAGCAGGGUUAGAUGAAAAUUGGAUCCAUCUGUGCUGGACCUUGUCUAGCUGAGUUUUGAAAGUUUCUAAGGUUGGAGAUUUCACAAUCCUUUUGAUGAUCUUAUUUCAGUAUUUAACUCUCUCAUUGUAAGAUUUCUUUUUUUAAAGUAAUGCAGUUUCAAAAUGGGAUGAUUUCAAAAGGUAAUGAAAAAGAAAACUGGAAAAAAACUGGGAAAAAUUAUUAAUUAAAACAAGUAUUUCAGUUAUACAUUUUCUCACUGUUCAUUU